This 428-nucleotide ribosomal RNA is filed under the name uncultured bacterium. RNAcentral describes it as "partial 16S ribosomal RNA". The stretch from base 236 to 428 matches the Rfam family "Bacterial small subunit ribosomal RNA", at positions 1 to 193 of the family's 1533-position model. The record is from RNAcentral.
AACUAGCCUCCUCCGGGAGACCUGAAAAAAGCAAAGCAGGGAAAGCGGGGGAGGGGUUGACAGGGAUGAUUCGGAAGUGUAGGAUCAAACGGUUGACUCUUUCGGGGAGAAAAAAGCCCUGAAGAGAAAGACGCCCUGUGGAAACGCAGGGAGAGCGUCUCGGAUCAUUGACAACUAAAUAGGAGCAGCAACGUCCAAUUAAAGGGCCCUGAUCACGAAACACAGUAAUAAAAUGAAUCUGGAGAGUUUGAUCCUGGCUCAGAACGAACGCUGGCGGCGUGCCUAACACAUGCAAGUCCAACGUGAAAGGGGAGCAAUCCCCCGGUAGGGUGGCAAACGGGUGAGUAAUACAUGGGUGAUCUACCUUAGGGAUGGGGAUAUCCUUCCGAAAGGAGGGGCAAUACCGAAUAUUGUCCGGAGCCGUGAAG